UCAAACUUGGUCAUUUAGAGGAAGUAAAAGUCGUAACAAGGUCUCCGUUGGUGAACCAGCGGAGGGAUCAUUACCGGGUCUAGCGACUGCCCGAACCAUCACACCGUGAACCCUACGAGACCCUUUCCGCUGCGGCGGGCCGCCCGCUGGGGGGGGCUGCCGACCCGCCGAAGCGAACGCCCGAAGGGGAAGAAAACCUUCUGAAGCUCUUCUGAGAAGCGCCGAUUGGCCUUCGCAGCGAAGGCGAGAUCACAACCCACAGCAAUGGAUCUCUUGGCUCUGGCAUCGAUGAAGAACGCAGC
This 302-nucleotide unclassified non-coding RNA is filed under the name uncultured fungus. Its description in RNAcentral is "partial contains small subunit ribosomal RNA, internal transcribed spacer 1, and 5.8S ribosomal RNA". The stretch from base 1 to 73 matches the Rfam family "Eukaryotic small subunit ribosomal RNA", at positions 1759 to 1831 of the family's 1831-position model. The record is from RNAcentral. Lineage: Eukaryota; Fungi.